Molecule: long non-coding RNA, 213 nt
Filed under: Volvox carteri
Lineage: Eukaryota; Viridiplantae; Chlorophyta; Chlorophyceae; Chlamydomonadales; Volvocaceae
Description: long non-coding RNA (VCAR_LNC001577)
Source: RNAcentral
UUCGGUUGGGUGGCGCGGGUGGGGUGGCAUAGGGUUCGAUUGGCGGCGGAAGCAGGGCCCAGGGGUUUACAGCAGGGCCAAGCAAGACCAGGCACUUACGUACCCGCUUGGACGGUAACAAGCGCAAACACGUGAGCCUGGCGAUGCUGCGAGUGAGCGCGAGCACAAGCACUUGCUAGUCAAGUAUUGCCGCAGUUUACAUGCAGGUGCGCG